UGGGGAAUAUUGGACAAUGGAGGCAACUCUGAUCCAGCAAUUCUGUGUGUGUGAAGAAGGUUUUAGGACUGUAAAACACUUUUAGUAGGGAAGAAAAAAAUGACGGUACCUACAGAAGAAGCGACGGCUAAAUACGUGCCAGCAGCCGCGGUAAUACGUAUGUCGCGAGCGUUAUCCGGAAUUAUUGGGCUUAAAGGGCAUCUAGGCGGUUAAACAAGUUGAAGGUGAAAACCUGUGGCUCAACCAUAGGCUUGCCUACAAAACUGUAUAACUAGAGUACUGGAAAGGUGGGUGGAACUACACGAGUAGAGGUGAAAUUCGUAGAUAUGUGUAGGAAUGCCGAUGAUGAAGAUAACUCACUGGACAGCAACUGACGCUGAAGUGCGAAAGCUAGGGGAGCAAACAGG
Molecule: ribosomal RNA, 407 nt
Filed under: Verrucomicrobiota bacterium
Lineage: Bacteria; Pseudomonadati; Verrucomicrobiota
Description: Verrucomicrobia bacterium partial 16S ribosomal RNA
Rfam family: Bacterial small subunit ribosomal RNA
Source: RNAcentral